Molecule: ribosomal RNA, 479 nt
Filed under: uncultured bacterium
Lineage: Bacteria
Description: partial 16S ribosomal RNA
Rfam family: Bacterial small subunit ribosomal RNA
Source: RNAcentral
GAUGAACGCUAGCGGGAGGCCUAACACAUGCAAGCCGAGCGGUAUUGUUUCUUCGGAAAUGAGAGAGCGGCGUACGGGUGCGUAACACGUGUGCAACCUGCCUUUAUCUGGGGGAUAGCCUUUCGAAAGGAAGAUUAAUACUCCAUAAUUUAUUGAACGGCAUCGUUUAAUAUUGAAAGCUCCGGCGGAUAGAGAUGGGCACGCGCAAGAUUAGCUAGUUGGUGAGGUAACGGCUCACCAAGGCGAUGAUCUUUAGGGGGCCUGAGAGGGUGAUCCCCCACACUGGUACUGAGACACGGACCAGACUCCUACGGGAGGCAGCAGUGAGGAAUAUUGGUCAAUGGGUGCAAGCCUGAACCAGCCAUCCCGCGUGAAGGACGACUGCCCUAUGGGUUGUAAACUUCUUUUGUAUAGGGAUAAACCUACCCUCGAGAGGGUAGCUGAAGGUACUAUACGAAUAAGCACCGGCUAACUCCGUG